GAUGCGUUAGCUUGCCUUCCUCAUCGUACGUGGCCGCAAGCCCGAGCUUGGCGGUCCGGACUCCGCAUUACUUCGGGGAUGUCGCUGUCUUCCUGACCUGUGUCGGGAGUCUUUUUAGAGGCCGGAGGUGUUUGGUAGGAACUCUCCGUCUCCAUUGGGAUGAAAUCCUUUAGGUCUUUGGUGCGGUUUGUCCUUCAUC
RNAcentral lists this long non-coding RNA (199 nucleotides) under Elaeis guineensis (African oil palm). RNAcentral describes it as "long non-coding RNA (EGUI_LNC059732)". The record is from RNAcentral. Lineage: Eukaryota; Viridiplantae; Streptophyta; Magnoliopsida; Arecales; Arecaceae.